GGAGGGGAUAAUGAGGAGGUGGGGUGGGAGAAACCGAGGCGGAGAGCUAGGGCAAGAGGGAGGGUAGGGGAGUAGGCGGACACGGACACCCUAUCCCACACCUUCCUACCCCCCCCUUCCUUCCCCCCGGGGGCCCCUUUCUCCUCCCCCCCCCCCCCAGUAGAAGUGGAUCUUAGCAAGACAGUCGGCUUCCCCAGACGGGGCGCCCCGCCCACUUCUUCACUGCUCCCACUCCUCACCGCCUAGACCCCCACCUUCCACCCCCCAGCCAUUUGGGGGCUUGGUCCUAGGGUCGAGCCCCAGGCUGGGCACCCAGCUCAUUUCCAUCCCGAAGCCCGCUUUUCCCUCUCGGUUCUCCCUCCUCCUAGCCCCGACGUUUCUCUAAACCCUGGAGGAGGAGGAGCAGCAGCAGCAGCAGGAUCCGCACAUUGCUAACCCGCUCUAAGUGGCUCCGAGCAGCCAAACUGGGCAUGCUCCGUAGCUUGGGCAGGUUUGGGUUGCAAGUAGAAAGCUUUGGCUCUUAAGCCGGGAGGAGAGAACAAGGAGAGAGAGGGAGGGAGAGAGGAAAAAGGGAGAAAAAGAGAGGGACACACAGAGAGACAGAGGCAUACACACGCAGAGCGCGAGAGCCCCGAGCGGCCGGAGAGGACCGCCGGUGCCCAGCGCUGCCACCAUCCAUUUGCGAGACGCUGGCACUAAAGAAACCCACCCACCGCCCCUCCGGCUGAUUGCUAUUGUGAAAGUGGAACCCUCGCCUCAUAUGACCUCCUGCUUUUCCCUCCUCCUGCUCAGCAAAUGCUGGGAAAGACAUAACUUUUACAUGAUGAGAAAUCCUGAAAUCAUUUUUUGAAAGAGAAGAAGUUCUCCUCUUCUUGACUGACCAUUGAUCUCACUUUAUCAAGAGCUGCUUUGUAAGUACUGUUUACAUCCCUGAAAUACAUACAUUAUAGACUUGAUAGUUAAAGUAUUGUGUUUUGUCUUGACUAUGUUGAAAUUCUUUUAUCUCUCCAAAUGUCUGUACUCCAAAUAGUACACUCAUAAUAAAUGCUUGUUGAAUCAAUAUAAGUACCA
This 1071-nucleotide long non-coding RNA is filed under the name Monodelphis domestica (gray short-tailed opossum). Its description in RNAcentral is "lncRNA (ENSMODG00000040892.1)". Lineage: Eukaryota; Metazoa; Chordata; Mammalia; Didelphimorphia; Didelphidae. The record is from RNAcentral.